Molecule: ribosomal RNA, 253 nt
Filed under: uncultured bacterium
Lineage: Bacteria
Description: partial 16S ribosomal RNA
Rfam family: Bacterial small subunit ribosomal RNA
Source: RNAcentral
GACAGAGGGUGCAAACGUUGUUCGGAAUUACUGGGCGUAAAGCGCGUGUAGGCGGUCGUGCAAGUCGGGUGUGAAAGCCCGGGGCUCAACCCCGGAAGUGCAUUCGAUACUGCGCGGCUAGAGUACCGGAGAGGGUGGUGGAACUCUCGGUGUAGAGGUGAAAUUCGUAGAUAUCGAGAAGAACACCGGUGGCGAAGGCGGCCACCUGGACGGAUACUGACGCUGAGACGCGAAAGCGUGGGGAGCAAACAGG